CNGUGAUUAGCUCAGCUGGGAGAGCACCUCCCUUACAAGGAGGGGGUCGGCGGUUCGAUCCCGUCAUCACCCACCA
RNAcentral lists this transfer RNA (76 nucleotides) under Salmonella enterica subsp. enterica serovar Derby. RNAcentral's name for it is "tRNA-Val". It matches the Rfam family "tRNA". Rfam says of the family: Transfer RNA (tRNA) molecules are approximately 80 nucleotides in length. Their secondary structure includes four short double-helical elements and three loops (D, anti-codon, and T loops). Lineage: Bacteria; Pseudomonadati; Pseudomonadota; Gammaproteobacteria; Enterobacterales; Enterobacteriaceae. The record is from RNAcentral.